UACGGAGGGUGCAAGCGUUAUCCGGAUUCACUGGGUUUAAAGGGUGCGUAGGUGGGUCUGUAAGUCAGUGGUGAAAUCUCCGUGCUUAACAUGGAAACUGCCAUUGAUACUAUAGGUCUUGAAUUCUCUGGAGGAUAGCGGAAAUAUGUCAUGUAGCGGUGAAAUGACUUAGAUAUGACAUAGAACACCAAUUGCGAAGGCAGCUAUCUACAGGGAUAUUGACACUGAGGCACGAAAGCGUGGGGAUCAAACAGG
Molecule: ribosomal RNA, 255 nt
Filed under: uncultured bacterium
Lineage: Bacteria
Description: partial 16S ribosomal RNA
Rfam family: Bacterial small subunit ribosomal RNA
Source: RNAcentral